RNAcentral lists this long non-coding RNA (304 nucleotides) under Gallus gallus (chicken). RNAcentral's name for it is "long non-coding RNA NONGGAT003676". The record is from RNAcentral. Lineage: Eukaryota; Metazoa; Chordata; Aves; Galliformes; Phasianidae.
AACCUCCAGAGCACAAAGAUGAGAAACCUUGACAAAAGAGAUGGAAAUAGAAGGAGCACGCUGCAGACAGAUCCCACUUCAUCUUUACGGAUGCAAAGAAAUGUCACCUCCGUUCAUAUAUAACAAAGAAAAUAAUACCCAGGAUCUCGUUCUCCUUUGAGACUCUCUGAUUGAAAAUUAUCCCAGAGAAGGAAUUAGAACAGCACAGAAGCAAGAAUUCUAUCACGAAUCCUCCUGAAAGCUGACUUCCAGCAUGGGUGCCCUUUUCUUUGUAAUCCGUGCAUACCUCAGCAUUAGCUGUGAC